UACGUAGGGAGCAAGCGUUGUCCGGAAUCAUUGGGCGUAAAGGGCGCGUAGGCGGCCAUCUAAGUCAGACGUGAAAUCCCCCGGCUUAACCUGGGAACUGCGUCUGAUACUGGAAGGCUUGAGUAUGGGAGAGGGAUGUAGAAUUCCAGGUGUAGCGGUGAAAUGCGUAGAUAUCUGGAGGAAUACCGGUGGCGAAGGCGGCAUCCUGGACCAUUACUGACGCUGAGGCGCGAAAGCUAGGGGAGCAAACGGG
Molecule: ribosomal RNA, 253 nt
Filed under: uncultured bacterium
Lineage: Bacteria
Description: partial 16S ribosomal RNA
Rfam family: Bacterial small subunit ribosomal RNA
Source: RNAcentral